UACGUAGGGUGCGAGCGUUAAUCGGAAUUACUGGGCGUAAAGCGUGCGCAGGCGGUUCGCUGUGUCCGAUGUGAAAGCCCCGGGCUUAACCUGGGAAUGGCAUUGGAAACUGGCGGGCUUGAGUGUGGCAGAGGGGGGUGGAAUUCCGCGUGUAGCAGUGAAAUGCGUAGAGAUGCGGAGGAACACCGAUGGCGAAGGCAGCCCCCUGGGCUAACACUGACGCUCAGGCACGAAAGCGUGGGGAUCAAACAGG
This 253-nucleotide ribosomal RNA is filed under the name uncultured bacterium. RNAcentral's name for it is "partial 16S ribosomal RNA". It matches the Rfam family "Bacterial small subunit ribosomal RNA", at positions 524 to 776 of the family's 1533-position model. The record is from RNAcentral.